GGUAGCCUCUUCUAGAAGUGUGGCCGUGGGAGUCAAUUAAAAUCGCUGGAUUUCCUUGUCCAUAUUAUACAGACACUAAACAUUUCCUCUUCUGGUUGCUUACAAUAUCGAAAUAGUUCCUAAUUUCCUGAUUCCCACAACACACAAAAUACAAUUUUGGAAUUACUAUGCAAAGCCACUGGGCCCGACAAAGACAAGGAGCAUAACAAAAAGACAUCAGUGGGACAUCAAAUGGCUACAUAACCAGGACCAUCACAGCCAGUGUCAUCAUUAAAGGACUCACAACUUGUGGUUUAUCGUGACAAGUUUCUUCAUAACAUGUCUGAUCAAGAGACACAGUCGACACUGAGAGAGGCAUAACAAUGGAUAACACAAACUUGGGUCUACUUGUCCUAAAAUAAACCUCAUCACCAGAAACCAUGAGCUAAUUAAAAGUACAGCUAAGAUGCCAAUUUAGAAACGAUA
Molecule: long non-coding RNA, 465 nt
Organism: Fukomys damarensis (Damara mole-rat)
Lineage: Eukaryota; Metazoa; Chordata; Mammalia; Rodentia; Bathyergidae
Exons: 4
Source: RefSeq, a predicted model, not a curated record